RNAcentral lists this ribosomal RNA (468 nucleotides) under uncultured bacterium. Its description in RNAcentral is "partial 16S ribosomal RNA". It matches the Rfam family "Bacterial small subunit ribosomal RNA", at positions 28 to 507 of the family's 1533-position model. The record is from RNAcentral.
GACGAACGCUGGCGGCGUGCUUAACACACGCAAGUCGAACGGAAAGGCCCUGCUUUUGUGGGGUGCUCGAGUGGCGAACGGGUGAGUAACACGUGAGUAACCUGCCCUUGACUUUGGGAUAACUUCAGGAAACUGGGGCUAAUACCGGAUAGGAGCUCCUGCUGCAUGGUGGGGGUUGGAAAGUUUCGGCGGUUGGGGAUGGACUCGCGGCUUAUCAGCUUGUUGGUGGGGUAGUGGCUUACCAAGGCUUUGACGGGUAGCCGGCCUGAGAGGGUGACCGGCCACAUUGGGACUGAGAUACGGCCCAGCCUCCUACGGGAGGCAGCAGUGGGGAAUAUUGCACAAUGGGCGGAAGCCUGAUGCAGCAACGCCGCGUGCGGGAUGACGGCCUUCGGGUUGUAAACCGCUUUCGCCUGUGACGAAGCGUGAGUGACGGUAAUGGGUAAAGAAGCACCGGCUAACUACGUG